UGGUCUUUGUACAGUGACCUGUGAAC
Molecule: non-coding RNA, 26 nt
Filed under: Mus musculus (house mouse)
Lineage: Eukaryota; Metazoa; Chordata; Mammalia; Rodentia; Muridae
Source: RNAcentral